Girardinichthys multiradiatus is the source of this 667-nucleotide long non-coding RNA. RefSeq lists it as uncharacterized. Lineage: Eukaryota; Metazoa; Chordata; Actinopteri; Cyprinodontiformes; Goodeidae. The record is from RefSeq and is a predicted model, not a curated record. The transcript is spliced from 3 exons.
GCGGUAAUGGCUGGUUUGGUUUCACCUUCAUGAUAACAAAUUCAUUACUGCAUUGCCGUUCAUCCCUGUUUUUUAAACGUUGAGAGGACUGUCUGUGUACAGUUCUCAGUCUUUAUUAAAUUUGUAGCAUUUUAGUUAAGUUCAGUUGGCGCAGCUUACUAACUGGUAACAGUUUUUUUUCUUUUCAUGGUUAGGUAGGUUCUUGGAAAAGAAACGGGCGCCAUUUUCAGAAUCAGCUUUAUUGUCGAGUUUGUACAGACAAGCAAAGAAUAUGACUCCGGUACAUUUUGCUCUCAAUAAUAAAGAAUAUAUUUUUAAAUGUACAUAUACGCGAUUGAAUUUACAAUGGAAUAAUUUUGGGACGUCUGCAGCAUCAAAAUAAUUAGAAAAAAAAUUAAUUGUAAAGAAUUGUAAAAAUUGAGUUAGAAAGAGGAUAUUUUGUUCAAAAUGCAUCAGAAAUGUCUUCAAAAGCAGAAAUUCUCCAACUUGACACCAAUAGGAUAAUCAUCAAUGAAGCAAAAGGAGCAAAAUCUGGAGCAGCAGGCUACUAACAUACCUGUUGUAUGUUCUCCUGAUGGACUCGAAACAGCUUGGGGACCUCUAGCAGCGUCUUCCAUUCAGUGACAGCAGGAGAAGUGGACAGGUUGAAGUGGCUGUAAUCCAAAUG